CAUGACGUAAUUUCUAGAGUUAAGGCAUUCCUAAAAUAGUGAAAAUAAGUAUGGUAACAGUAACAGUUGGUAUGUUAAAAAUUCGUUAUUUUGUAUUAGAAUACGAUAAACGAUACUAGUUUAAUGUGAUAGUAUCAAUUAUCUGUUUUUCUAUUGAAGUCAGUUUACGUAAAUAUACGAUAUUGCUGAAAUACAUUAGGAACAAACGAAAUGUGAGUAACGCUAGCACUGUAGACUGUAGUGUAGCACUUGCACGUUGCAUACUACUACUACUACUUAGAAGUAGCACCAAUCAGUUGAAACACAGCUAGAUCCUGCUCUUGGUUAUACAAUAAAACUAAAAGUAAAACGAACCCCAAUUUGUAUUUACCUUCUGCAACUUCGAAAUUGAAGGAAGUUAGCUAACAGUUAGUCUCCUACGAUACUGUUUUUAAAAAUCCCUUGAAAUCGAUAUUUCUUGAAGAAGAGGAAUGAAAUCAAAGAAGAGUGAUAGUAAUGCUUUGCCAGCUUACAAAAGGCAUUCACAUCAUAACAGUGAUGAAGUAGGACAUCUCCAUUCUCAAGG
Long non-coding RNA from Limulus polyphemus (Atlantic horseshoe crab), 565 nucleotides. RefSeq lists it as uncharacterized. The transcript is spliced from 3 exons. NCBI's taxonomy places the organism in Eukaryota, Metazoa, Arthropoda, Merostomata, Xiphosura, Limulidae. The record is from RefSeq and is a predicted model, not a curated record.